Long non-coding RNA from Hirundo rustica (Barn swallow), 1839 nucleotides. RefSeq lists it as uncharacterized. The transcript has 5 exons. The record is from RefSeq and is a predicted model, not a curated record. Lineage: Eukaryota; Metazoa; Chordata; Aves; Passeriformes; Hirundinidae.
GUGAGAAGCAGCCCUUCGGUGAAAGGGGAAAGAAAGAGCAUCUGGAGGCGCCGGAGGGAGAGACGCCAGGCUGCGAUGGCUCAACCUCCUAAAAAUCAAGACAUUUACCAUAUUUAACAUUCCUGUAGUGAAUUAACAAGCCUCAGGUGCCUUCAAUGGCAAAGGGUUUUGCCUUUCCUUCCCUUAAUAAACCCUCCAUGAAUGAGUGGCCUGUCUGCAAGCCCCAGCCCAGCUUGCACCUGUGUCCUCCCAGACCUCCAGUUUCUCUCCCUGAAGGCAGUGAAAUGCAGGUCAAUGUGCCAGUGAAAAUCCAACCACAUCCAACAAAGCCACAGAGAUAUUUUACUUUAACUUUGGGAGCCAAAGAAGGGCUGGGGGUUGCCUGUCUUGGAGCAAGUGCUGCGUGACAGGGUGGAGGUUCAGGUACAUGGACGUGACUCGGGCUUUCAGAACAGCAUGUGCAACACAGCUGAGAGGAGGGGAAAACCACCAGGCCCUGACGUCUGCUGAGGAACAACACAACACCCCAGGCAGCUGACAGCCCAAAGCUUUGAUCAAUACUUCAUUCCUGGGGCUGCCUUGUGCCGGGUCAGGAGCUGGAUUCGCUGCUCUUUGUGGGUCCCUUCCAACUCAGGAUAUUCUGAUUCUGUGAAUACAUAUCUGAUGCUCCUCAAGCAAUCCUUUCUCUUUCCCAAUCGUACCCGUGAAGUCAAGUGGAGUAACAAAUAGAAAUAAAGCAAUUCCUCUGCCUCAAAAUCAAUACACAGGGGGUGAAGGGUGCAGGUCUCCUGCUCCUCCUGCCUGGGAAGAGGAUGCUGGAGUCCUGUGCAGGACUGGCAGCACAGGGCCAGCAGUGACAGCUUCUACGAUCCAGCAGAAAGUGGGUGUGGGGAAACCCCAGCCACUGUGGUCCUCUGGGACUUCUCAUCGUCAUGGCUCUGUACUUCUGGCACCCUCUCCUGCCUGGACUGAUGCCUGCAGGCACUGGGAACACCAUGUACCUUAUCAUGGAAUCACAGAAUAGUUUGGGUUGGAAGGGACCUUAAGGUCCUUUUUCCAUCACCCCUGCUACAGGCAAGGAAUUUUCCACUAGACCAGGUUGCUCCAAGCUGUGUCUGACCGGGCCAGGAAAGCUUCCAGGGACGGGGAAUCCACAGCUUCUCUGGGCAACCUGUUCCAGCGCCUCCCCACCCUCAUAAGGAAUACUUUUCUUCCUCAUAUCACCUCCCCAGGGGAGACCUGGACGCUGGGUACAGCAUUUCUGGGGGGGGGUCUCUUCUUGCAGGAGAUGUGGGAACCCCUAAGCCACACAGCAUCGUGGACCCUGUCCUGUGAUGAGAUGCAGCACCUCUGGUUCUCUAAGCCAAAGGAACAAAAGUCCUCUGUGUCCACGAUUUGUCAAAGACCCCGAGCUGUGCUAGGGGCUUACAGGAACUCUGUGCCAUCAGGCAGCACCUGCAGCCCCCAGACUCCCGUUACUCUCAUCACAGGGCUGAAGAGGCAGAGAGAACAGCUGUGACACUUCCCCUUCUCGUACAAGGAUGAAAAGCCCUGUGUGGGGGGGAGAAAGACCCAUGGAAUAUCACAUGGCCAUCUGUCCUUCAGUAAAAUGCAAAUUUUGUAAGAGGAGGAAAAUAAGUUAAAAAGAGUCCAGUGGGUUCAAACUGGAAUGGAGAUGAUAAAGGUGAUGCAAACAUUUGAUUACAUGUUGAGGUUAGGGCUCGUCAUUCAGCCUUGGUGCAAAAAAGUCAUCAGCAAAAAUACCAAAGGUGUGGGAAUAAAUCAGGCAGAAAACUCAGACUUAAAUUCAAAUUUAUUUAGAGGAAGAUUGACUUUACA